Molecule: ribosomal RNA, 1076 nt
Filed under: metagenome
Description: bacterial LSU rRNA
Rfam family: Bacterial large subunit ribosomal RNA
Source: RNAcentral
UCGAGGAUGAGUCUUGUGGAGGUAGAGCACUGAAUGUACGAUGGCCCCAUCCCGGGGUACUGAGUAUAAUCAAACUCCGAAUGCCAUGAGAUAUUCCCGGCAGUCAGACCGUGGGUGAUAAGGUCCAUGGUCAAAAGGGAAACAGCCCAGACCGCCAGUUAAGGUCCCAAAAUGUAUGCUAAGUGGAAAAGGAUGUGGGGAUGCACAGACAACUAGGAGGUUGGCUCAGAAGCAGCCAUCCUUCAAAGAGUGCGUAACAGCUCACUAGUCGAGUGACCCUGCGCCGAAAAUGUACCGGGGCUAAGCAUACUACCGAAGCUGCGGAUUUGUAGUAAUACAAGUGGUAGGGGAGCGUUCCAUGCACGUGGAAGCCAUACCGUAAGGAGUGGUGGAGAGCAUGGAAGUGAGAAUGCCGGUGUGAGUAGCGAGAUGCAGGUGAGAAUCCUGCACACCGAUAGCCCAAGGAUUCCAGGGGAAGGUUCGUCCGCCCUGGGUAAGUCGGGACCUAAGGCGAGGCCGAAAGGCGUAGUCGAUGGAAAACAGGCAGAUAUUCCUGUACCCGCGUGAGAAUGAAGGAGUGACGGAGAAGGUUAGUGGAUCCACUUAAUGGAUUGUGGUCCAAGCGCAGGAGCAGAUACGCAGGCAAAUCCGCGUAUCAAUGCAAAGGCGUGAAGGGGAGUGAAAGCUUCGGCAAGUAGCGAAGUUCAUGAUACCAGCUUCCAAGAAAAGCUUCUAGUGCUAAUCUCAUCGCGGCCCGUACCAAAACCGACACAGGUGGGCAAGGCGAGAAGCCUGAGGUGAGCGAGAGAACUGUUGCCAAGGAACUCGGCAAAAUGACCCCGUACGUUCGCAAGAAGGGGUGCUCGAAAGAGCCGCAGUGAAGAGGCCCAAGCGACUGUUUAACUAAAACACAGCUCUCUGCGAAGUCGCAAGACGAAGUAUAGGGGGUGACGCCUGCCCGGUGCUGGAAGGUUAAGAGGAUUUGUCAGUUUCGACGAAGCAAUGAAUUGAAGCCCCAGUGAACGGCGGCCGUAACUAUAACGGUCCUAAGGUAGCGAAAUUCCUUGUCAGGUAAG